CCUACGGGUGGCUGCAGUGGGGAAUAUUGGACAAUGGGCGAAAGCCUGAUCCAGCCAUGCCGCGUGUGUGAAGAAGGCCUUCGGGUUGUAAAGCACUUUCAGUGGGGAAGAAAGCCUUGGGGCUAAUACCCUCGAGGAAGGACAUCACCCACAGAAGAAGCACCGGCUAACUCCGUGCCAGCAGCCGCGGUAAUCCGGAGGGUGCGAGCGUUAAUCGGAAUUACUGGGCGUAAAGCGCGCGUAGGCGGUCUGAUAAGCCGGUUGUGAAAGCCCCGGGCUCAACCUGGGAACGGCAUCCGGAACUGUCAGGCUAGAGUGCAGGAGAGGAAGGUAGAAUUCCCGGUGUAGCGGUGAAAUGCGUAGAGAUCGGGAGGAAUACCAGUGGCGAAGGCGGCCUUCUGGACUGACACUGACGCUGAGGUGCGAAAGCGUGGGUAGCAAACAGGAUUAGAUACCCGAGUAGUC
RNAcentral lists this ribosomal RNA (465 nucleotides) under Vreelandella stevensii. Its description in RNAcentral is "partial 16S ribosomal RNA". It matches the Rfam family "Bacterial small subunit ribosomal RNA", at positions 338 to 795 of the family's 1533-position model. The record is from RNAcentral. Lineage: Bacteria; Pseudomonadati; Pseudomonadota; Gammaproteobacteria; Oceanospirillales; Halomonadaceae.